AGUAGUAAUACUUAGUGGCAGACGGGUGAGUAACAUGUAGGUAUCUUCCCUUUGGUGAGGAAUAACACGAGGAAACUUGUGCUAAUACCUCAUAAGUCUUUACGGAGAAAGCUUUAUGCGCCGAAGGAUGAGCCUGCACUUGAUUAGGUUGUUGGUGGGGUAAUGGCCUACCAAGACUUUGAUCAAUAGCUGAUCUGAGAGGAUGACCAGCCACAUUGGGAUUGAGACACGGCCCAAACUCCUACGGGAGGCAGCAGUAGGGAAUAUUGCACAAUGGAGGAAACUCUGAUGCAGCGAUGCCGCGUGAGUGAAGAAGGCCUUUGGGUUGUAAAGCUCUUUCGUCGGGGAAGAAAAUGACUGUACCCGAAUAAGAAGGUCCGGCUAACUUCGUGCCAGCAGCCGCGGUAAUACGAAGGGACCUAGCGUAGUUCGGAAUUACUGGGCUUAAAGAGUUCGUAGGUGGCUAAAAAAGUUGGUGGUGAAAUCCCAGAGCUUAACUCUGGAACUGCCAUCAAAACUUUUUAGCUAGAGUAUGAUAGAGGAAAGCAGAAUUUCUAGUGUAGAGGUGAAAUUCGUAGAUAUUAGAAAGAAUACCAAUUGCGAAGGCAGCUUUCUGGAUCAUUACUGACGCUGAGGAACGAAAGCAUGGGUAGCGAAGAGGAUUAGAUACCCUCGUAGUCCAUGCCGUAAACGAUGUGUGUUAGACGUUGGAAAUUUAUUUUCAGUGUCGCAGCGAAAGCAUUAAACACACCGCCUGGGGAGUACGACCGCAAGGUUAAAACUCAAAUGAAUUGACGGGGACCCGCACAAGUAGUGGAGCAUGUG
Molecule: ribosomal RNA, 825 nt
Filed under: uncultured bacterium
Lineage: Bacteria
Description: bacterial SSU rRNA
Rfam family: Bacterial small subunit ribosomal RNA
Source: RNAcentral